GCCCACCAGGUGCAGGGAGAAGCAACCAGCUUGUGUAGCGGGUGCAUCUUGGCAGCUGGAGUUAUAAGCUGUAGCCCACACCACUAACUGCAGCACAGAUGUCUGUUUCCCAGUCAGGUUAUUUUCUCCAUGUUGGAAAUCUUGUUCAGCUUGAGGAAGAAGACCUAGUGACCUGGCCAGCAGCUGCCACUCCUGAAAAGCUAGUUACCUAGGUCACUAGCUUAGGAGGGCUCUGGUGAGACGAGCUGAAGAAUGCUGAUGGUUUGCAGGUUCCUCUACUGCUUUCUAGGCAGGUUGUUGGAGAGACAGGUAAGUACGCUAGCUUGCAUCAUAGACCAGAAUCUGUUAUUCUUCUCUAUACCUUCUGUUCAGACUUCCGUAGAUUUUGAAGUUCCCACAAAGUGUUGUUUUUUUUUCAUUGUUUUACUUUUUUUUUUUUUUUUUUUUUUUUUUUGCUUCUUCUGUAUUGGCUGGUGAUGGUCUAUACAUGGCUGAUUAAUCAUAGUGUCUGCUUUGUGUUGCCAGUUCUGGUAAGAGCACAUUUCUGAAGUGCUCUAGUUUGGCUUAAACUGUACCAAGUGACCCAGUGUGAUACCUACUGUGGUCCAUGAAUAUAUAAAGAGUUCCAUAUCCAUUUAUGCCAGGUUGUGCUAAGGACUUAAUGUGAUUGCCAAGAGAAGGGAGGGGAUCUGCCUGGAGAACAAAAUGUGGGCUCACUGAGGAACUCAUACACAAAAUAAGACACUAGAACAGGUGGAUGUAUAUAUAUAUAAGCAUUUUACAGUUAGAUUCCUUUCCUCACAUGACUUAAAUAAGGGCUCUAUGCAAUUGUAUUUUAUCAAAGGGAUAGAAGCUUCCAUUGUAAAAUGUUGGUGUGUUCAUAAGUGGCCUCAUCUUGCAAAGGCAAAUAAUAGCUCUGUGAGUGAGGAGAAAGCAAAUCUGUACUCGAAGGAGCCAGCUUUUAAAGAAGCAUUCCUCAAAAAAUGCCAUAGGACAAUGGAGUUAAUGAGAAGCUCUUCACAGCUUUUAAUCUUGUCCCACCCACUAAGUUUAACAGCAUUUUCAGCUUUUUCUAUUCUUCCUGGGAAGCUGUGCUUAGAAAAUAAUUUUCCUCUUCUUCCCUCCUCAUUUCUCCUCUGUCUACUGGAAUACUUUUUAUCAGUUUUUGUUUUGACUAUAAGGGAUCCUUUAGGGCAAGUAAAUGAAAUCAAGGACGUCCCACUAAUUCCGUUCUCUUAAUGCAAAACUACAAAAUUUUGCAGCCUCAAGAAAACAACUGCUUCCUUUCAUCUCAGAUAAGACACCACAAUAAUGUAACUACUAAGUGACUGAAUGGGCCCCUGGCAAAUUACAGCAUAUGUAGCUACAGUUUCCUCUUAAUUGGUCAUUCAUCUAACAAUAUUUACCCAUAGAUUUAAUACCACAUAUUUGGGAUUCAGAUUAAUGCUUUACUUACUAGUAUCUGUACCUUAGAAGACUGAAAGUUGGACUGAACUGUGAGAGUUUCAGAUUCAAUGCUACACAUGAAAAGACUUUUAAUUUUAAUUUAUGGAGAGAAAAAGACAAAACAAACCACAAACCAAACAAAACAACAACAACAACCCAUCAACCAAACCACAAACCAAAACAACUAAAACCAGACCUUUCCAACACGAUUACAAGAGACAAGAUAUUGUUUUUUCUAGCUCGGUGAUUUUGCUCAAUCAGCUUAGCAACUCUCCAGUCCAGUGAUUUCAGUGGCUCAUGAUUCAUUCUUGCCGGGUUGCUUAGACUGCUGCAAAUGAUCUAAAGAAAACUCUUAGGUUCGUGCUCUGCAAAACAUGCAAACAGACUUUAUCCGUAGUAUAUGGGAUACAGGUUCAUAAGACUAGUGAACACAAUUUAAACUCAAGAGCAGAUUGUCACAGGUAGAUCACCUCUGUUCUGUUUGUCUCUUGCCUCAUAGUAAAUAUCUUUAACUUACAACCCAGACUUGCACUGCAGAAUCAGGAUGAUAAUUUACCUUCAGAUUUUAGGCAGCUAGUUAUGACUUUCUUUCUUGACAGACAUCUGAUCCAUAUUUAAAAAAUGAGUGCAUCCAGCCCUAAAAUUUUUCUUAUAUCUUUGUGCAAUAUUUUAAAAUGUUGUUACUACCUUGACAAAGAAACACAUUUUAUUUGAAAAUUUAUUUAGUUUUAAUGUAAAUGUAUAGGCAUGCAGUACAUAACAAAUACCAAAAGCAUCAGUUUUACUUCCUUGUCCUGCCUCACAUCAUUUUACCUAAAAAAUAUCAUUAAAUAUUCAUUGUCUGGUGUAAAACACUGGUUGUAAAAUGUAGUCAAUUAUCUCACGAUUUAUUGAUUUCUGCAACCCUGGCUUAUCCUACCAGCAGAUAUUUCUCAAUCCUUCUAUCAAAGCUGGGGGCAAGGAAGAGGUAGUCAGAUCCUUACUGACUAAAGGCUGUUGUAAAUGUCUGCAAAUACUUGAAAGUUGCAGGUAGAAUGGGGAGAGAUACCAAUAAGGGAUGUACCAAAACAAGGUUUUCCCAAAAUACAUAGGCCAUCUCAAAAAGCACAUUGAAUAACCAUAUUUAACCUAUUGUUCUGGGCACAAUGGAAUCACCGAUACCAAAAAAGCCUUCCAUAUGAACCAAGACUCUCCCGUGCUAGCAAAAGAUGAAGGCAAGUAGACAACUUGGAAAGCUUGUCAGUAUCUUUAAGAGACUUCAACUAUUGCAUGAGAUAACUCAAGUACUUCGAGUCAGAAGUUGGAAGUUCAGAGUCAAAUUGUAGCUUAUUGUUGUGAAGAAACAGUUUCAGACAUCUUAAAGGAAGCGUGCUGAGUAACUGUCUGGAAAAAAUAUCUUUGCAGAAGUGUUACAGUUAGGUAUUCAUGAAGCAAGACUAUUUUUUAAGGCUUUUUUUGAUGCUAAAGCGGGUGGUGUUGUGGUAAUUGAGGCAGGAUACAAGAGCACAGACGAGAGUUUUAGUGUUUAUGAAAAACGCUGUCAAUUCAGGCACAAUGUAUCAAGAUUUCAGUUGCUUUCUACAAAGGAAAGAUGCUUCAAAAUGAAAAACAAUGCCCAAUAAGAGUCUUUCCUGUAAUGCUUGCUCACUUUGAAAAGCCACUUUGCCUUCCUUGAGAAACAGAAUGUCAUGGAGAGAAAAUGUCUGGCAAAGAGAUGAGGAAGCAACAGAUAUUGCAAUGCAAUCCCCACCCACUGGAAACAAGAGAAUGAUCAGUGUUAGUCACACAGCAAAGAUACAAAAAAUAUCAAUAGCCUUGUAAAUUUGUGAUUUUUGUAGUCCUGGUAGUCCAUCUCAGACCUGAAGUGAACCAAUACUGUCUAACCAACUCCUAAUUUAUGCAUCCACACCUCCAUCCCUCAGAAACUAAUGGAACAACUUAUCCUUGGUGCCAUCUCAAGGCAUAUCAAGCGUAAGAGGGUCAUUAGGGGCAGUCAACAUGGCUUUACCAAGGGUAAGUCAUUCUUGACCACCCUCAUUGACUUUUAUGAGAAUGUAACAAGAUGGAUGGAUGAUGGCAGAGCGGUGGAUGUGGUCUACCUUGACUUCAGUAAGGCAUUUGACACAGUCUCCCACAGCAUCCUUACAGCUAAAGUGAGGGAUUGCGGUCUGGAUGAUCGGGUAGUGAGGUGGACUGAGAACUGGCUGAAGGGAAGAAGCCAGAGAGUCAUGGUCAAUCGGGCAGAGUCUAGUUGGAAGCCUGUAUCUAGUGAAGUGCCUCAAGGGUCAGCACUGGGGCCUAUAUUAUUCAAUAUAUUCACCAAUGAUUUGGAUGAGGGAAUAGAGUGUAUUAUCAGCAAGUUUGCUGAUGACACCAAGCUGGGAGGAGUGGCUGACACGCCAGAAGGCUGUGCUGCCAUCCAGUGAGGUCUGGACAGGCUGGAGAGUUGGGCGGGGAAAAAUUCAAUGAAAUAUAGCAAGGGAAAGUGUAGAGUCCUGCACCUGGGCAGGAACAAGCCCAGGUGCCAGUAUAAGUUGGGAAAUGACCUAUUAGAGAGCAGUGUAGGGGAAAGGGACCUGGGAGUCCUGGUGGACAACAAGAUGACCGUGAGCCAGCACUGUGCCCCUGUGGCCAGGAAGGCCAAUGGCAUCCUGGGGUGUAUUAUAAGGGGGGUGGUUUGUAGGUCAAGAGAGGUUCUCCUUCCCCUCUACUCUGCUCUGGGGAGACCACAUCUGGAAUAUUGUGUCCAGUUCUGGGCCCCUCAGUUCAAGAAGGACACGGAACUGCUGGAGAGAGUCCAGCGCAGGACAACAAAGAUGAUGAAGGGAGUGGAGCAUCUCCUUUAUCAGGAAAGGCUGAGGGAGCUGGGUCUUUUUAGCUCGCAGAAGAGGAGACCGAGGGGUGACCUUAUAAAUGUUUACAAAUAUACAAAGGGUGAGUGUCACGAGGAUGGAGCCAGGCUCUUCUCGGUGACAACCAAUGAUAGGACAAGGGGUAAUGGGUUCAAACUGGAACACAAAAUGUUCCACUUAAAUUUGAGAAGAAACUUCUUCUCAGUGAGGGUGACAGAACACUGAAACAGACUGCUCAGGGAGGUUGUGGAGUCUCCUACUCUGGAGGCAUUCAAAACCUGCCUGGCCGCCUUUCUGUGUAGCCUCAUCUAAGUGUUCCUGCUCCGUCAGGGGGAUUAGACUAGGUGAUCUUUUGAGGUCCCUUCCAAUCCCUAAAAUUCUGUGAUUCUGUGUUUCUGUGAAAUAAGAAACUGAACUCCAGCUUUUUUUCUCCUCAAAGAGGGUGUCAUAAUAGUUCUUCUGAAUCUAGAACGAGUCUGCAGUGUUUGAGUGGAGCAAGGAGGAGUUAAAUAAAUGUUAAGUGGAUAACAUGAGUCAAGGACAUCAGAGAAAGUAGUAAACACACCCUUAUCAGUCAGCCAUUCCAAAAGCUGAGCUGUUGAUCCUAAACAUUCGUUUCAAAACUGCUUCUAUCAUGGAUUAAAGACUGAGCAAGCAAGGCAGGCUCUUAAGUCUGGUGAGCUGGCUGGUGAGGACAACAGGAAGCAUCCUUAUGCCCACUCAUAGUCACAACCCUUGUUAAUGCCAGCACUUUGAAGUAGAUAAGCCACUAAUUCAAUUAAUCCCAAAGAAGCGUUUCCAUUUUUACUUUGAACUAACAUUGACUGGAGCUUCAUUGAAUGCAUAAAAUACCUGUUAUUGAACCCAACUCAUGUCUGGUAAAGAUGCUGAGAAGUGGGAAAGAAGAAAAUUCUAGAAUAUUUAUGGUGUGAAACAGGAGAAGAACAUUCUGCAUAGAAAAUAAUCUUUGUUUUCUGAGUAUCUGUUUCAGCUUUGUACACUUGGAUGUUUAAUACAUUAUUUGGAGAUAUUUUAUCACACGUUUAAGAUCAUUGGAUUUGCUGCUCAUACUUCAAGAUUUUCCAGAAGCAUCAACUUUCCUCACCACCAGGUGAGGAGUGGAAGCAAGUACACCAGGAUUUAGAGACUGAGAUUUUUACUGAAUUCAGCAGGAACUGUCCUAAUGACUGGGCUGUGUAGGAGCUAUGAAGGAUACUCCAGCAGCUGUCAUGUCAAGAUGAGCUCUCUUCAUUCAGUUUUACCCCAGAAAUUGUAUGUUUCAAAGCAUUUGAACUGCUCAGAUAAAGCACUUAUUUUUCUCAUCUGAAAGAAAAAAACAAACCAACCCCCAAAACCAACCAGAAAUUAAGCACUUUCUCUUCCUUUAGCUGCUCUGCUGUGACCUCAUUAUCACAGCAUCACUGAACAUGCUGAUAACACUUCUUAUCUCUGCGGGUGAAAGAAUCCUAACACAAAGCAUCGAUGUCUCUGCCAGUGCCAGAACUGCUGUUACUCCAGAAAAGUGCAAGCGAAAGUGCAGAAGGCUGAUUUAACACAUAGUUCAUUUGAUCUAAACUUCAGGCAACUAACAGAACAGGAAACUGUCCCCUGAAGUACUGAGCAUUGUAUUUUGAAAUUGAAAACUUUGCUCUCUGCUGCCUCAGUCUCAUUACAAAUCAACUGCAGACAUUAUAUAUGCUUGCAACAGUUUGUUUAACUCUUAACAGUCUUGUACUUAACAGUCUGUUACUCUCCAGGGCUUAGUCGAAUAUGGGUUUCUUUUUGUUUUCCUGCUGCUUUCAUGGUUUUGGAGUCAGUGCUUCUACACUAAAUUUCUUUCAAAACCUAGUGUCCAGGUUUGAACCCAAGUAAUCAGGUGCUGUUAAAAAAGUUUCUACAUGGAGUUUUAAAAACUUAUUUUCUUUAGUGAGCAUGGAAACACUUAAAAAAUUUCUGGUCCAGCUCUUACCUCAAUUGAUUUAUAUUCCACCUUGAAGUCAUGUAUGGUGAAAGAGGGUAACAUCUUCAACCAGCAAAGGCAUCUGCAAAAUCAAGAUUUGUUCAAGGGCUUGACAUCUAAGUUCCCAAUACAAGAGCAGAGGUAUGACACAAGUUAAUUGGAAGCACUGACUUUCAAAUGCUGAAAAUCUAGCAGGUGAGGCAAAAUGCCAGCUUGGUUGAGCAGAGAUCUUCUUGAAAUACAAUGAAAAAAAAAUUACAGUGUCAGUGGAAGCAAGGUUAGGCAACAUGGGAGGACUACAGAGAUGCUGCUUGCCACUGUAGAGAGGAAAUUCAUGCUGUCAAAGCUUAAUUGGAAUUGAAGAUGGCCUUUACUUCAGAGGACAAUAAAAAAGACUUUUUAAAAUAUAUUAAUGUUAAAAGCAAACUAGAAAUGACAUUGGUCCAUUACUUGAUGAGUGUGGUCACCUUAUCAACUGGGUCAUAGACAAAGUCAAGAUGUUUAAUGCUUUCUUCGCCUCGGUCUUCAACACCAAAGAUGGACUUGGGGGCCACCAUAAUGCUAGGUUAGAAAACCAUGGCUGCAAGAACGACAAACUCCCAAUCAAUUUGGAAUUUGUAUGGAAUUUGCUACUUCAGUUAGAUCCCUUCAAGUCAAUGGGACUUGAUGGGAUUCAUCCAAGCUUGUUUAAAGAGCUUGCUGACAUCAUAGCAACACCUCUCUCUGUGAUUUUUCAACACUCCCGGGAAUGUGGAGAGGUCCAGGAUGAGUGGAAGCUGGCAAACGUUGUACCAAUCUACAAGAAGGGCAACAGGGAUGACCCUGGCAACUAGUCAUUGGUCCCAGCCAGCAAGGGUUCAUGAGGUGAAAGUUGCUUGACAAACUUAAUUUCUUUCCACGACAAGGUUACUCACCUAGUUGACCAAGGGAAGCCUGUCAAUGUGAUAUUUUUUGAUUUCAGUAAAGUGUUUGAUACUGCCUCUCACAGUAUCCUUCUGGACAAGAUGUCCAGCACACAGCUGGAUGGGUGGGUGAGCAAUUGGCUGACGGGCUGGGCUCAAAGGGUUCUAAUAAAUGCAGUUACGUCGGGCUGGAGACCAGUCUCUAAUGGGGUUCCACAGUGAUCCAUCUUAGAGCCAGCACUCUUCAAUGUCUUCAGAAAUUACUUAGAUUCAGAACUUGAGGGAUUGUUUAGUGAGUUUGCUGAUGACACAAAAGUGUGAGGAGCUGUCGACACUCUCUAGCACAGAGAGGCCUGGUGGAGGAAUCUGCGAAAAUUGGAGAACUGGGCAAUCACCAACUGCAUGAAGUUCAACAAGUGCCGGAUUUUGCACCUGGGACAUGGCAGCCCUGGCUGUACAUGCAGACUGGGGAAUAAGAAGCUGGAAAGCAGCUCCAUGGAGAGGGAUCUGGGGGUUCUGGUCAAUGGCAAUUUGAACAUGAGCCAACAGUGUGCCCUGGCAGCCAGGAGGGCCAACCAUGUCCUGGGCGCAUCAAGCACAGCAUUGCCAGCCGGGCAAGAGAGGUGAUUGUCCUGGUCUACUUGGCACUGGUGCAGCCUCACCUGGACCACUGUGUGCAGUUCUGGGCAGCACAGGAUAAAAAGGAUAUUAAGCUACUGGAGGAUGUCUAGAAGAGGUCUAUGAAGUUGGUGAAGGUUUUGAAGAGGAAGCAGCUAAAGUCACUUGGUUUGUUCAGCCUGAAGGAGACUGAAGGGAGACCCAUCCCGGUCCACAGCUUCCUCACAUGGGGAGGAAAGAAGGGUAGAUGCCGAACUCUUCUCUUUAGUGACCAAUAACAGAACCCAAGGGAAUGACAGGAAGAUGUGCCAGGGAAGGUUUAGGUGGGACAUUAGGAAAAGGUUCUUCCCCCAGAGGGUAGGGGAGCACUGGAACAGGCUCCCCAGGGAGGUGUCACAGCCCUAAGUCUGACAGUAUUGAAGAAAAGACUAGCCAAUGCCCUCAGACACAUGGUGUGAACUGUGGAGUUGCCAUAUGCAGGGACAGGAGUUGGAGCCGAUGAUCCUUGUGGAUCCCUUUCAAUUCAGAACAUUCUAUGAGUCUAUGAAUUCUAAGCUUGAGAGUUCUCAUUUCUUUCUAGAUUAAUGCUCCAUUUUCUCCUUUCCACAUUAGGUGUCUUCUCACAAAUAUCUCACUGACGGGCAUUUUAAACAGAAGUGAGGAAAAAUAUUUGAUUGAUUAAAUCUGUGUUUUAAAUUUUUUUCCCAUUUUGAUGGAGAGCUCCAAAAAUCAAAUUAAGGCUAUUUUGAGUCUUCUGCUGAACAAGAACAAACAUUUCCUUCACCUCCAAAACGCUGAGUAAUUUGAGACAUCAGUGGAAGGAACUAGUGAAUUCUUCAUUCUGGGUUGUUACUGUAGCAACGCACUCAACAUUUACACCAAUGAGGUGUAUGUGAGCUCUGUUAUGUUGUUUAUCCCCUUGCAUAUCCCCUUGCACAGCAAUCACAAAGCAAUAUCUCAUCCACUGGAGUGUAAAGAUAAUAACCUUGUUUAUGAUCUGAAGAGUUAAAGACACUUUUGAAAAAACUGAAGAAGGCUACUAUGCUUGUAAGUGUUCUUUUGUAUACAGUAGCUGAAACCAGCCCAUGAUGAAUAUUAAAAAAAAAAGAAUUUGUUUGUACAUUAGUUACAUAAGUUAUAUACCAAAGAAUGAAAGACAGUAGGAGUUAACAGUGUGGAAGCUUCCAACUAUGUAUGCACAGAGUUUCCACAAACCUGACUUUAUAUUCAGUAAAGCUUUGUUAUUUUUUAUGUCCACUGAGGUAGCUCUAUUGAUAACUUAUGCAUUAGUAAUGGGAUAGCUGAAAACUGCAUGCGGUUCUGCAGACAGCUGAAAAUUAGUAGUAGUGGAAAUUGCUCUACUCCCUUUAGACUUAUCAUCUUACUUAUUAAUAUCUAUACACAUAUAUAUAUAUCUAUAUAUACACAUAUAUAUAUCUAUAUAUACACAUAUAUAAUAUCUAUACCUAUGACAGAGUGCAA
Molecule: long non-coding RNA, 9260 nt
Organism: Columba livia (rock pigeon)
Lineage: Eukaryota; Metazoa; Chordata; Aves; Columbiformes; Columbidae
Exons: 3
Source: RefSeq, a predicted model, not a curated record